RNAcentral lists this ribosomal RNA (245 nucleotides) under uncultured bacterium. RNAcentral describes it as "partial 16S ribosomal RNA". It matches the Rfam family "Bacterial small subunit ribosomal RNA", at positions 524 to 768 of the family's 1533-position model. The record is from RNAcentral.
UACGGAGGGUGCAAGCGUUGUCCGGAAUUACUGGGCGUAAAGCGCGUGCAGGCGGGCUGUCGUGUCGGGUGUGAAAUCCCUCGGCUCAACUGAGGAACUGCGCCCGAAACUGGCAGUCUUGAGUACGGGAGGGGAUGGUGGAAUUCCCGGUGUAGAGGUGAAAUUCGUAGAUAUCGGGAAGAAUACCGGUGGCGAAGGCGACCAUCUGGCCCGUUACUGACGCUCAGACGCGAAAGCGUGGGGAG